AGCCACAAAUUUCUUGCAAGACAACCAUACGAGUCCUCACAUCAAGAGAAUAAAAAUCACCUACUGAAACGAGCACUGAACAGGCGACUAUCACCACCCAUAACGGCACUAAUACUCAUCAUAUGGGCUGUUCCUACACCCCCAAUCAAUUUGCACACGAACCACAAGCUAUCAACCACUUUACACGUUGAAGCCUUCAGGAUGUGAAAAUAAAGAACACAUGCAUGGCGUGAUUCAUCACAGCGGCUUCCAAAACCUCCGCUGCUCACAGGCACACAAAACCAACAAGCACCCAACCUUUCAACCCGAAAGGCGGACACACAAAUGGAGCUAAGAGCAAAGCAACUUCAUAAGAGCCAGGUAACUGUCAGCCUACAGUCAGCUCUGCAUGUCUAUACUACCGGGGAAGCUGCUACUCAUGUGAUGAGAAAA
This 432-nucleotide long non-coding RNA is filed under the name Triticum aestivum (bread wheat). RNAcentral's name for it is "long non-coding RNA (TAES_LNC000443)". The record is from RNAcentral. Lineage: Eukaryota; Viridiplantae; Streptophyta; Magnoliopsida; Poales; Poaceae.